CUGCACUAAGCAGACAAGAGCAGACAAGCAGGAACGUGUUCUAAGAGUUUCUAACUUUAGGACCAUGAAUCAGGAUCUGCUGUACUCGCUGCACAGAAUGGAUGCAAUUCCCAAGGCCCACACAGCAAACCUGAAAGCUGUCUUAGGCACGUUCCUCUCAAGUUGUACGUCUGUUGCUCUUGGAGCACACUGACCAACUCAGGAGAGCACAAGUGGCAAGCAGCAGCUUGGUGCAGUGAAUCCCGAGCGCAGCUCCCUCUCAUAGCUAUGCUCAUGUUAGCGCCUAUUGAAAGGUGAGCAGUAUUGUAUUGAGCAGUCUCACUUCGCCUCCCUUCCAGGUGUGCCUUCCUGUCUCCUUUGUACAGCAUUCCUGAUUUUGGAGGGUGAACUUUCUGCAAGUUAGCUUUCUGGGUCACUGCUGGGCAAGGCAAGAGCCAGGGCUGGCUUCGGGAAAGCUGAAGGAACUCCCAGCCUGGAAGAAGAAGGAGGACAAGACAUACGUUGCAAGCCUGCUCCACGCUGGAGGGCACAAGUUACCCACUGCACUUUCUUCAACAAAAAACCCCACUCUGCAGGAAACAAAAUGAGGCCGCGGUGCAGAGAUGAGAAGAAAGGCAGCCUGCAACAACGGACACAGCGCUCAGAGAGAUUUUUGCCUCGGCGAGACAUUCUGCAAACAUGCUAAGGCUACAAAAUGCCCAAGUUGACAAAGACAUGCAACGCUGACCAUUCAAUAAGUCACGGCUAUUAGAGGAGCGACCAUGCCCACCUGGGCCGCAGGUCCCAUAGGACAGGGAUGGCGUACAGCGAUCAUGGCAACGCACUACACAGGACCUAGUAACCUGAGGUAGGUCUCUUCACAGUAAGAAAACAACAUCCUACACCAGUGUUACAUCCUGAUCUGCAGGAACCCGUUUAAAGUUCCAGGAGACGUGGAGUGGGGGACUGUUUCCUUAACAAGUGUGCAAUAAAGAAACAGGAAAUAUUGGUGUUGUUUAACCUUAGUAUACGUGAGCGGGACAAAGAGUUAGUGUUACUCGUGCCAGUGAAAGCCAACCUAAACCUCUGAGGAGUGUUAGCAGCUUCAAGAUAAAGGAGUCAGUCAGCUGGAGCAACUUGGAAAAGGCUUUCCUGCCAGCAUACAGGGUAAUGGUUUGAACCUUACGAUUAAUUUGUUACACGUCAUUCCAUAAACAGUUACAUUCUGGUUGUGUUAGAUCAGCGAAGCAGAAAGAGCAUAAACCCUGCUGAUACAGUCAGAAAUACUGCACCAGGACACUGAGAAAAUAGGAGGCUUUAACGUGACCCAGAAGUGGUUCUCCACUCAGGAGAUCACUAAAAACCCUGCUUUGGGAAAGCAUUAUGGCAAGCAGCAGCCGCUGCCGUGGUGAACAUUAGCGAUGCUCCAAAUAGCUUUGAUAAAUUACAAUGCAAUAGAGUUACACCACAGUGCUCUUCUCCCCUGUGCUAGACAACAAUGAUGUGACAAUAAAGGACACUAUUGCAAAGCUUCACUUCCACUCAGACACGCAGAAAAUCUGGCACUAGGAAAAGACAACUGUAAGAGACAAAAUGGUGUCUGAUACAGCCCGAUAACAAAGCCAGAUCUCCGGUACCAUAAACUGUACAAAAAUGAUAGAAAAGAAUAUGCACUGUUAUUA
This 1661-nucleotide long non-coding RNA is filed under the name Gallus gallus (chicken). RNAcentral's name for it is "long non-coding RNA NONGGAT009296". The record is from RNAcentral. Lineage: Eukaryota; Metazoa; Chordata; Aves; Galliformes; Phasianidae.